GGAAAGUCCCUAGCUCAGUGGCAGAAUACCUGCCUGGCAUGCAGAAGGUCCCUGGUUCAAGCUCCACCGGCAUCUCCA
Molecule: non-coding RNA, 78 nt
Organism: Podarcis lilfordi (Lilford's wall lizard)
Lineage: Eukaryota; Metazoa; Chordata; Lepidosauria; Squamata; Lacertidae
Source: the annotation of a GenBank genome assembly